ACUUAAAUAGCUUAUAAAUUAGAGCAUAAUAUUGAAGAUAUUAGGGAAAUAUAUUUUAUUUUUAAGUA
This 68-nucleotide transfer RNA is filed under the name Sternolophus rufipes. Its description in RNAcentral is "tRNA-Phe". Lineage: Eukaryota; Metazoa; Arthropoda; Insecta; Coleoptera; Hydrophilidae. The record is from RNAcentral.